Small nucleolar RNA from Perognathus longimembris pacificus (Pacific pocket mouse), 133 nucleotides. RefSeq annotates it as small nucleolar RNA SNORA40. NCBI's taxonomy places the organism in Eukaryota, Metazoa, Chordata, Mammalia, Rodentia, Heteromyidae. The record is from RefSeq and is a predicted model, not a curated record. The transcript has a single exon.
GGCCCUUGUGUGUGUGUGUCUUCACUUAGUUGCAUAACAAAGCCUUAGAGACAGGUGCGAACAGUAAAUCCUCUUUUACAAUCCAGAACUCAUUGUUGAGUAUGAGAUUUGGGUACAUGUAAGAAGGGAUAUG